GCUUCGAUGAGUAGGAGGACGCGGGGGUCGUUGAGAAACCUUGGGCGUGAGCCUGGGUGGACCGGUCCCCGGUGAAGAUCUUGGUGGUAGUAGCAAAUAUUCAAAUGAAAACUUUGAAGACUGAAGUGGGGAAAGGUUCCAUGUGAACAUCACUUGGACAUGGGUUAGUCGAUCCUAAGAGAUGGGGAAGCCCUGUAUCAAGGGUGCACUCUACACGAAAAUCGAAAGGGAAUCGGGUUAAUAUUCUCGAACCGGGACAUGGCAGUGGACGACAACAUUAGGAAAUCUGGAGACAUCGUUGGGGGCCAUGGGAAGAGUUAUCUUUUCUUUUUAACAGCUUUCCCACCCUGAAAUCGACUCAACCGAAGAUAGGGUCCAGCAGUUUGAAGAGAAUCAAACGUCUUGCAAUGUCCGGUGCACCCUCGGUGGCCCUUGAAAAUAUAGAGGACCAAGUACCAUCCAUGCCCGAUCGUACUCAUAACCGCAUCAGGUCUCCAAGGUGAACAACCUCUGGUCAAUAGAAAAAUGUAGGUAAGGGAAGUCGGCAAAGCGGAUCUGUAACUUCGGGAAAAGGAUUGGCUCUGAGGGCUGGGCCUAGGGGUCUGCGUCCUUAACCCAUGGGUUGUUGGCAGUCUUCCCAAGCUGCUAUCGUGGCGAGGGUAGGCAGUUGCGUGUCGAUUAGGCUAUGGAUGUAGAAUGUCCUCUCGUGGGGGAUUUCCCUAGGCAGUGAAAAAUCGACUCAGAACUGGUACGGACAAGGGGAAGCCUACUGUUUAAUUAAAACAAAGCAUUGUGAUGGUCCCUAUGGAUGCUGACGCAAUUUUCUUUCUACCCAGUGCUCUGAAUGUCAAAGUGAAGAAAUUCAAGUAAGUGUGGGUAAAUGGCGGGAGUAACUAUGACUCUCUUAAGGUAGCCAAAUGCUUCAUCGUAUAAUUAGUGACGUGCAUGAAUGGAUUAACGAGAUUCUCACUGUCCCUAUCUACUAUCUAGCGAAACCAUAACCAAGGGAACGGGCUUGGUGGAAUCAGCGAGGAAAGAACACCCUGUUGAGCUUGACUCUAGUCUGACUUUGUGAAAUGACUUGAGAGGUGUAGAAUAAGUGGGAGUUGUUUUCAGCACAAGUGAAAUACCACUACUUUUAACAUUAUUUUACUUAUUCCAUGGGGCGGAGACAGGGCAUUGCCCCUGUUUUUGGCCUUAAGACAUGUUUCAAUGGGUCGAUCCGGGCAGAAGACAUUGUAAGGUGGGGAGUUUGGCUGGGGCGGCACAUCUGUUAAAAGAUAACGCAGGUGUCCUAAGAUGAGCUCAAUGAGAACAUAAAUCUUGUGUGGAACAAAAAGGUAAAAGCUCAUUUGAUUUUGAUUUUCAGUACGAAUACAAACCGUGAAAG
Picea glauca (white spruce) is the source of this 1390-nucleotide non-coding RNA. The record is from Rfam. NCBI's taxonomy places the organism in Eukaryota, Viridiplantae, Streptophyta, Pinopsida, Pinales, Pinaceae.